Molecule: ribosomal RNA, 445 nt
Filed under: uncultured bacterium
Lineage: Bacteria
Description: partial 16S ribosomal RNA
Rfam family: Bacterial small subunit ribosomal RNA
Source: RNAcentral
UCCCAGACUCCUACGGGAGGCAGCAGUGGGGAUAUUGCACAAUGGGGGGAACCCUGAUGCAGCGACGCCGCGUGGGUGAAGGAGUAUUUCGGUAUGUAAAGCCCUAUCGGCAGGGAAGAAGCAAGACGGUACCUGACUAAGAAGCCCCGGCUAACUACGUGCCAGCAGCCGCGGUAAUACGUAGGGGGCGAGCGUUAUCCGGAUUUAUUGGGUUUAAAGGGUGCGUAGGCGGUCCGUUAAGUCAGCGGUAAAAUUGGGGGGCUCAACCCGGGCGCGCCGUUGAAACUGGCAGACUUGAGUUGGCGAGAAGUACGCGGAAUGCGCGGUGUGGCGGUGAAAUGCAUAGAUAUCGCGCAGAACUCCGAUUGCGAAGGCAGCGUACCGGCGCCAGACUGACGCUGAGGCACGAAAGCGUGGGGAUCGAACAGGAGUAGAUGCCCUUGUA